CUACCAGCGGCUGUGGGACCGUGGGUGGUGGGUCGUUUUCCACGCUUCUUUUGUUGUACAGCACCAGGUGAAAAGACUGUAGUAGGUUUCCUUUGUGUGGUUGUGCUGACCCCUGUGAAUUCCCCAAAUGCGGGAAUCUCAACUGCAUAAUUUGUGGUAGUGGGGGACUGCGUCAAGCGCUCUCCCUCA
This is a small nuclear RNA of Oreochromis aureus, 189 nucleotides long. Its record names the gene U1. It matches the Rfam family "U1 spliceosomal RNA". Rfam says of the family: U1 is a small nuclear RNA (snRNA) component of the spliceosome (involved in pre-mRNA splicing). Its 5' end forms complementary base pairs with the 5' splice junction, thus defining the 5' donor site of an intron. NCBI's taxonomy places the organism in Eukaryota, Metazoa, Chordata, Actinopteri, Cichliformes, Cichlidae. The record is from Ensembl.